RNAcentral lists this ribosomal RNA (322 nucleotides) under Listeria monocytogenes. RNAcentral describes it as "partial 23S ribosomal RNA". It matches the Rfam family "Bacterial large subunit ribosomal RNA", at positions 2604 to 2925 of the family's 2925-position model. Lineage: Bacteria; Bacillati; Bacillota; Bacilli; Caryophanales; Listeriaceae. The record is from RNAcentral.
GCUGGGUUCAGAACGUCGUGAGACAGUUCGGUCCCUAUCCGUCGUGGGCGUAGGAAAUUUGAGAGGAGCUGUCCUUAGUACGAGAGGACCGGGAUGGACAUACCUCUGGUGUACCAGUUGUCGUGCCAACGGCAUAGCUGGGUAGCUAUGUAUGGACGGGAUAAGUGCUGAAAGCAUCUAAGCAUGAAGCCCCCCUCAAGAUGAGAUUUCCCAACUUCGGUUAUAAGAUCCCUCAGAGAUGAUGAGGUUAAUAGGUUCGAGGUGGAAGCGUGGUGACACGUGGAGCUGACGAAUACUAAUCGAUCGAAGACUUAAUCAAUUU